RNAcentral lists this ribosomal RNA (468 nucleotides) under uncultured bacterium. RNAcentral describes it as "partial 16S ribosomal RNA". It matches the Rfam family "Bacterial small subunit ribosomal RNA", at positions 28 to 507 of the family's 1533-position model. The record is from RNAcentral.
GACGAACGCUGGCGGCGUGCUUAACACAUGCAAGUCGAACGGAAAGGCCCUGCUUUUGUGGGGUGCUCGAGUGGCGAACGGGUGAGUAACACGUGAGUAACCUGCCCUUGACUUUGGGAUAACUUCAGGAAACUGGGGCUAAUACCGGAUAGGAGCUCCUGCUGCAUGGUGGGGGUUGGAAAGUUUCGGCGGUUGGGGAUGGACUCGCGGCUUAUCAGCUUGUUGGUGGGGUAGUGGCUUACCAAGGCUUUGACGGGUAGCCGGCCUGAGAGGGUGACCGGCCACAUUGGGACUGAGAUACGGCCCAGACUCCUACGGGAGGCAGCAGUGGGGAAUAUUGCACAAUGGGCGGAAGCAUGAUGCAGCAACGCCGCGUGCGGGAUGACGGCCUUAGGGUUGUAAACCGCUUUCGCCUGUGACGAAGCGUGAGUGACGGUAAUGGGUAAAGAAGCACCGGCUAACUACGUG